UUUCUGAGGAGGAGAUGCUUUUUGUUUUGUACUAAAACUAGUCUGAUGAAGCCCAGUUGCUUCUGAAUCCCACUGAACACACCAGCAGGAGCUUAAUAUAUGUGUGUGGGCAGAAUGGAUGAAUGAAUGCAUGGGUGGGUGGGUGGAUCUUCCUCUCAUCUCGGCUUCCCUUAGUGUCUGAGAGAGCAGAGAAAGAGAGAGAGAGGAAAAAAAAAAACAACUCAAUGAAAAGACCAGGUCGAAGCAAGCAAAAACAUCACACUUUUGGCAGAAGUAACUACUCCUGAUUCAAAUAGCCAGAGGACAGAGCUGCUUCACUGAGUCUCAGUGUUUUAUAUUCCAGUUGACAUCACUACACACAAAGUUCUGUCCUGGGAAGUUGAUGGAAUACCAUGGAGGCCUUACCUACAUGUUCUCUUUAUCUGUAGGGGGCCAGGAUGUAGGACCCUGGGUAAGGACCGAGCCCAGACAUUUGUUCCUGGCUCCCUCACAUGCUGACUGCAUUGCCAACCUUCAGAGCCACUGUCAGGGGAAUCUGACUGUACAGUCACCUCCUAUCCAUGAAUUGUGGCUAUGUUAAGCUUGAAAGAAUAGCCUAACCCUCCCUUAUGUGUUAGAACUAUUCGACCAUCUGAUAUAAAGAACAGAUAGGAGUUUGCAAUUUUUGUGGGCACAUUAAGGAAACAGGACUCAUUUUUUCCCAAUGUCUACUGAAGUCUUUCUUCAGCUUCAUCCAGUCUUCCUAUUUUAUAUAUACCUUUUGGUUUUUUGAGAGUUAGGGAACUUUGAAUUUAAAAAAAAAAAGGAACAGGGGCGCCCUAGUGGCUCAGUCAGUUAAACAUCUGCCUUCAGCUCAGGUCAUGAUUUCAGGGUCCUGGGAUUGAGUCUCACAUCAGGCUCCCUGCUCAGCAGGAAACCUGCUUCUCCCUCUCCCUCUGCCCCUAAACCUGCUUAUGCACUCUCUCUCUUAAAUAAAUAAAUAAAUAAAUAAAUAAAUAAAUAAAUAAAUAAAAUCUUAAAAAAAAGAAUAUAUAUAUAUUCAAAUUAUGGUCCUGCCAUUAGGGGUGAGAUUGUGGAGAAAGAACCUCAGUCCUCUGACACCACUUGGUCAUCCAUAAAUUGGAAAUAAUAAUGCUGAUGCAUCGGAGUUUAAGGGAGGAGCCUAUCACUUCAUGUAGUUACUGCCAAACCUAAAUGUUUAUGCAUGAGUUUUCCACUGCUGCAUAACACACGACCACAUAUUUACCAGCUUAAAACAACACCCAUUUAUUCUCUCAUAUUUCUACAGGUGAGAAGUCAGCAGGCUUGGCUGGGUUCUCUACUUAGGGUCUCACAAGGCCAAUGUCAGGGUGUCAAGGGCCAGAUGGGUUCCAAUGUUGAGGCUCUGGAAGAAUCAGCCUCCAGGAGUAUUCAGGACGUUGGCAGAGUUUAGUUCCACGUGGUUGUGGGACCAAGGUCCCUGUUUCCUCGCUGGCUGUCAGCGGGGCACUGGUCCUGGUCCCUAACCCUACCUGCACGCCUUCUCAUAUGAUCCCCUCCACCUUCUGCUAAGCAACAUGGUGUGCUGACUACUUCCAUUUGAAAUCUCUUCAACAUCUUUUGCCACAAGCCAGAGAAAACUCUGUUUUUAAAGAGCUUGUGUAGUUAGAUGAGACUCACCACAUAAUCUACCUUUUGCCAUAUAACGUGGCAUAACCAUGAGAGUCCCAGCCUGCCAUAUGCCUGGAUUCCACCCACACUCAGAGGGAAGGAAAUGCCGUAAGGAGCAGGAUCGCUGGAAGUCAUUCGUAGAUUUCUGAAUAUGAUAGUGCAUCAGAAUCACCAUGGAGCUUUUCGAAAAUACUGAUUUGUUUCUGCCAGAGGCCCUCUGGGUCAGAGUCUCUAGAAAUGGGUCCCAAGAAUUUGUAUAUUUUAAAACUUUCUAUAACCAGCCUAUGAAUAAAUUGUGAAAGCCACAGAGCUAAUGUAUCCAAAGAGCCUUGUACAGAGCCUGAUACAUAACUUGAACACAAAAGGUGUUAUUUUCCAUCCGUCUUUUCUCUAAUGUCUUGCUACUCAAAGUGUGGUCCACGGGCUAGCAGUAUUUUCACCCCUUAGGAGCAUCUCAGAAAUAGAGAAUCUCAGGUACCAUCCCAUAGACUCAGAAUCCAUGUUAUAUGGGGAUCUCCAGGUCAUUUGUAACACUGCCUUAGGAAGCUCUCCUAGGAUGAACCCAUAUCAUCAACCCUAAAAUUCUAUUCAAACUUCCAAAUGGAUACGUAUAUAGAAAUGUUUCAAUUCUGCUAGAAUCAAUUCAACCAAAUCCCUGACCAUUUUUCCACAUUUAUUGUAUAUCGAACACAGUGCUAGAUGGUAUAUGAAGAAAAAUUAUAAGUCACAAUCUGAAUUUAUUAAUGCUUACAUUGUUUUUGGAUGCAUGAACUACAGAGCAAUUCAAGGCAGCAAAUUUGAUAGAAUGUUCUGAGAACUACAAGAGCAUUUUAUUCCAGAGAAGGCAGGGAGAAGACCUCAAGCUGGUUCUCGAAAGAUAUUGGUAGACAGUCUUUAAAAUCUAGUUCAAAUGUUACUUCAUUCAUUCAUUCAUUCAUUCAUUCAUUCAACAAAUAUUUGUUGAGCUCCCACAAUGUACUGGGCACUGGUAAUAGAUGCUGUUCCUGAACUCCCAGGGCUGAGAGUCCCUGGCUCUCUGCCUUGGUCUCAUGCCCUUGUUGUAGCAGUCAGCACACUACACUGUGUUCUCACUCAGUGUGUCAGGUUCCUGUGAAAGAUUUUGCAUUUCUCAGAGACCAAGUUAAAUUUUUCUUGGUGUCUGCUUCAGUAUGACAAUGUUUGGCAUACAAUAAGACCUCAGUGAACAAGUGAAUAAAUGAAGAGAAAAUGCAAAGAAGAUAAAAGGCAUUGCAUGGGGAAUGUGCCUGGAUAGAGGUGUAGAGGAAAGAAUGACCAUAGCAUCUUUGAGAGAAAAUUCCAUCUUUCUAGCCGGGCCUGAUAGAAGGGUUCAUUCUGGAACAGUUGAUGGAGUGAGCGUAUGGAAAAAAUUGGAAUUUUAGGAUGGAAAAUACGCCUUUCAGUUAAAUUUACCAGAUAUGGAUUAAGCUAAUGAGCAACAGGGAGCUAGUAUAGGGUUUUAAAGGAAAUAGCAAAGGUUUGUCAUAGCGUGUGGUUAUCUGUGGCAGGUUAUAAAGGUUAAUUUUACAGAUCUGAUGGCUCUGAACAGAAAGGAUUAAUAUGGCAGAGAUGGAGGCAGAGAGCAAUGCACGGGGGUGUGCACCCACACGUGUGCACUUCAUGUGUGUAUUUGGGGGUUGUAAGGAGAGAGGUAUCAUAGCUAUCCAAGAAAAAGUCAUGAACAGAUGCUCAACAUGGAAAAAUUCCCAUUUUGAACAAGCCAGAACAUUUAAAAAUAGAUUGAUAGGCCAACUGUGUCCCAACAGAGCUCUGAGAAAACGUCCUUGGAAUGCUGAUUUAUGGUUCACCCACUCACGCAUUCAUUCUUGUAUUUACUCAACAAAUAUGAACUCAGUGCCGGGCACUGUGCUAAGGUCUGGGAUUGCAGAGAUGAAUAAAAUAGGUCUCCCAUUCCUGCAGAGGAGGAAAAAAACCCUACAAAUUAAACUUACUCACUCUGUUGGAGGAUUAAUCGUGUUAGUGAUAAGAUGAAAUUGCUUGAAAUUGAAGAUGAAAAACUCCUUCUGCAAGUUCUUUAAGCUUUCAUUGAAAGUCGGAUAUUUUCUGGCUCAGCAAUGUGGUAAAAUGGAAGGCAGAUAGAUGAACCCGGGGCUGAAUCCAUUGCUUUCUACUUACGUGAGUUUAUGUCUGUUUCCUCAUUUGCAAAUGAUCAUGAUUCCGGGAUUAUAGGAUUCGCUUGAAAUUUAAGGAAAUGAUCAAUAUAUGUAAAGUGCUUAUAAGUGCACUGCACACCUCUGGGUUGAGAAGCUGAACCUAGAAACUAGCAACAAUAAUGUAGUAAUGCCCAGGCUAUGCUGCUGGCUGGUUUCCAGUCACCUCUGACUCUGACCGGUAGGAGGCUGGGGGACAAGACAAAGCAGUUGUGAUACAUCUUCCCAUUUCCUCCCUCCCGUCUCCUCCCCACCUCCUCCAUCACUCUGGCCCUGAGAGAAGCCACAUCCCUCUGAGAUGCUAGGACCACUAACAGCCCCAGCUCCAUUCUGGAGCGUAGUCUGGUCUCCUGCCCCUGCUUCUUGAGUGCAGUGGGAAUGCUUACCCCUGCCUGGGGGCUCCAAUAUCCUUUUUUGGUUUCCUUAACUCUGCCUGGAUCUCUGGAUGUAGCCCUUUGUUAGCUUCACCAUUUGAACCAUGUUGGUUGAAUUAUAAUUCCUAUCAGUACGUUGACUGGUACAAAGACAUUAAAUUUUAUCAGUGAGGCCAAAACCUUUCAAAGUGUCUUCUAUGAGUUAUUCUGCAAAAACGAGAUUUCUAUGGUCAAGUAAGUUUAGGAAAGCUGUAUAUUUGAUUUCCCUCCUUGAGAGUCACAAUAUAUAUUAACAUAUUAAAGGUUCAGAGAAGCCUGAAAUGAAGAAAUGUGUUUAAUUUUAUUUAACAGCAUUUUCUAUACUCAUUUGACCAUGAAACUAUUAUUUCAUGUAACACCUAUUAACAUCCCACACUUGAGGAAAUGCUGAACUAGGCUAAACUAAUAAGAUAAUUUGUCACAUUUAUAGCAGUUUGAGGGUGAAAGAACAUUGGACUUGGAAUCAAGAUUUGCUACUUCUUGUCCUGAAUCUGCUACUAACUCACAGGAGACCUUGGGCAGACACCUUACUCUAGUGGAAUUCAGUCUCCAUGCAGAAGCUGGAGAAAUCUGUUUUUCCUCUUACAAAUCUGACUCCACUGAACACUCAUAGUAUUUUCAUCAACAUGAGCAAUCUUGGCAGUUUGGGUAGAAGUAUUCAGGAAUGUUUUGCUUUGUUUCUUUUGCAACUGCAGCUUUUCACCCCCAGAAUUUUACUUCUUCACAGUUUUUAUUUCAGCCGAGACUCCAGAAUUUCAAAAGCACUUGUGUUGAACUGCACAGAAAUGUUUGUAAAGCAAAAUUCCACCGUCUUCAAUGCUCUUUCCAUGAUGCCACACUAUGGUUUGCUUCUACAGUAGUAAAGUGACGGUAGUAAAGGUAUCUCCAGAUCUAAGGUUUUAGGAUUGGCUGUGUGUUUCUUCUUAUCUGGUUAUUUCUGC
RNAcentral lists this long non-coding RNA (5193 nucleotides) under Canis lupus familiaris (dog). RNAcentral's name for it is "lncRNA (ENSCAFG00000058782.1)". Lineage: Eukaryota; Metazoa; Chordata; Mammalia; Carnivora; Canidae. The record is from RNAcentral.